Molecule: long non-coding RNA, 888 nt
Filed under: Homo sapiens (human)
Lineage: Eukaryota; Metazoa; Chordata; Mammalia; Primates; Hominidae
Description: HSALNT0127192
Source: RNAcentral
AGAUAUGUGUCAUCUAUAUGAAUACACAUUCACCUGUAGUAAUCUUGAAAAAGCAAGUGUCUUUCAUUCUGUUUUGUACAUUUGGACCACAUUUUUGAAAGUGUACUAGGAGAACAGUCAUUGUGCUUUUGUAUUUACGGUAACAUAUGAACACUCUAGGGAAUUCUUAAUCAAAAUUUUUCAAAUUGAAAAAGGUAAACAAAGCCAGUGUAAUUUCUACCGCACUCUGUCUUUCAGAUUUGGUCUUAAGAACACAGAUUUUUGAAAAUAAUGCCAGUAGAAUUAAGAGUUAUUUAAAACUACAAUUUUUUUUCUAUUUUUUAAUCAUUGAAACCACAGUUUUAUAAAUCACAGGUGCUGUUAUUUUGCUAGUUUUGAAUGAACAUGUUUGGUAUCAGGAGGCAAUUAAUCCAUACACAUCUAAACAUGCCCUUAUACUUCCAUUUCCUGUGUUGAAUUAUGUGAAAAAAAAAUGCCCAAAGCUGACACUGAAAAAUGGUAGAAGUGGUGAAACUUUAGACUAUGUUAGUAUAUAAUGCAAAUAUCUGAUUUUCAUAUGCAUAUGGAGUAUUACAAGAAUAUACAUACUUCAAAGGUUUUGAUGAAGUUUAGAUAGUAUAGAAUUUUGUAAUAUAGGUUUUUACCAUUCUAAUUUUUUGAGCAUGGGAAAGUAGCUGUGUCCUAAUCUGGUAUGUGUCUGCAAUAGUGUCCAGGAAGAACUGCUACAUCUGGUUGGUUCAUCACAAGCAUAAUCAAGCUCAAGUGAGAAUAAGAGCUCAACUCCAACCCUCUUUUGAGUAAUUUUCACAACCAAAGAGUUACUUAAAAAAAAAAAAGUAUCUUGUAUGCACCAGAAUGUUAAGCCUUGCAAUCAUUUGAAAACACCUG